This 312-nucleotide long non-coding RNA is filed under the name Monodelphis domestica (gray short-tailed opossum). Its description in RNAcentral is "lncRNA (ENSMODG00000032219.2)". Lineage: Eukaryota; Metazoa; Chordata; Mammalia; Didelphimorphia; Didelphidae. The record is from RNAcentral.
CCUAGCUCUGUGUGUGAGACAAAGAGGAUCUUGGGGGCCUCGACUCCCAUGAAGCACCUAUAGUUGAGAUGAAACACUGUCUUCUACCUUGUCUUACUGACAACUAAGAAGUUCUCAUUGAAUUUCGAAACAUGUUCACUUAAAAUUGGAAGUCUGUUGUCAGUGAUGAGAACCUCUGGUCUGCCCUGUCUUGCCUGGUCUCCUGCGAUGAGAUGAGAAAACUGAGGCAAAUGGAGAUUGUGACUCAAUGAGUGUCAUAUAAUUAGUAAGUGUCUGUGGAUGAAUUUGAAUUUGGAUUUUUCUGACUCCAGG